RNAcentral lists this ribosomal RNA (253 nucleotides) under uncultured bacterium. Its description in RNAcentral is "partial 16S ribosomal RNA". It matches the Rfam family "Bacterial small subunit ribosomal RNA", at positions 524 to 776 of the family's 1533-position model. The record is from RNAcentral.
UACAGAGGAUGCAAGCGUUAUCCGGAAUGAUUGGGCGUAAAGCGUCUGUAGGUGGCUUUUUAAGUCCGCCGUCAAAUCCCAGGGCUCAACUCUGGACAGGCGGUGGAAACUACCAAGCUGGAGUACGGUAGGGGAAGAGGGAAUUUCCGGUGGAGCGGUGAAAUGCGCAGAGAUCGGGAAGAACACCAGUGGCGAAGGCGGCCGGCUGGGGGUGUCCUGACGCUGAGGCGCGAAAGCGUGGGGAGCAAACAGG